This 78-nucleotide transfer RNA is filed under the name Candidatus Bathyarchaeota archaeon. RNAcentral's name for it is "tRNA-Met". It matches the Rfam family "tRNA". Rfam says of the family: Transfer RNA (tRNA) molecules are approximately 80 nucleotides in length. Their secondary structure includes four short double-helical elements and three loops (D, anti-codon, and T loops). The record is from RNAcentral. Lineage: Archaea; Thermoproteati; Candidatus Bathyarchaeota.
GCCGGGGUAGCCUAGCCUGGCUAGGGCGCCAGACUCAUAGUCCAGAAGUCGCGGGCUCGAAUCCCGCCCCCGGCACCA